Molecule: ribosomal RNA, 718 nt
Filed under: bacterium GTC08B-2
Lineage: Bacteria
Description: bacterial SSU rRNA
Rfam family: Bacterial small subunit ribosomal RNA
Source: RNAcentral
AUGUUACGGCGGACGGGUGAGUAACACGUGGGUAACCUGCCUGUAAGACUGGGAUAACUCCGGGAAACCGGAGCUAAUACCGGAUAGUUCCUUGAACCGCAUGGUUCAAGGAUGAAAGACGGUUUCGGCUGUCACUUACAGAUGGACCCGCGGCGCAUUAGCUAGUUGGUGGGGUAAUGGCUCACCAAGGCGACGAUGCGUAGCCGACCUGAGAGGGUGAUCGGCCACACUGGGACUGAGACACGGCCCAGACUCCUACGGGAGGCAGCAGUAGGGAAUCUUCCGCAAUGGACGAAAGUCUGACGGAGCAACGCCGCGUGAGUGAUGAAGGUUUUCGGAUCGUAAAGCUCUGUUGUUAGGGAAGAACAAGUGCGAGAGUAACUGCUCGCACCUUGACGGUACCUAACCAGAAAGCCACGGCUAACUACGUGCCAGCAGCCGCGGUAAUACGUAGGUGGCAAGCGUUGUCCGGAAUUAUUGGGCGUAAAGGGCUCGCAGGCGGUUUCUUAAGUCUGAUGUGAAAGCCCCCGGCUCAACCGGGGAGGGUCAUUGGAAACUGGGAAACUUGAGUGCAGAAGAGGAGAGUGGAAUUCCACGUGUAGCGGUGAAAUGCGUAGAGAUGUGGAGGAACACCAGUGGCGAAGGCGACUCUCUGGUCUGUAACUGACGCUGAGGAGCGAAAGCGUGGGGAGCGAACAGGAUUAGAUACCCUGGUAGU